Molecule: ribosomal RNA, 484 nt
Filed under: uncultured bacterium
Lineage: Bacteria
Description: bacterial SSU rRNA
Rfam family: Bacterial small subunit ribosomal RNA
Source: RNAcentral
CGCUGGCGGUAUGCCUUACACAUGCAAGUCGAACGGCAGCAUGGAAGAGCUUGCUCUUCUGAUGGCGAGUGGCGAACGGGUGAGUAAAGCAUCGGAACGUACCGUGUAGUGGGGGAUAACGUAGCGAAAGUUACGCUAAUACCGCAUACGCACUGAGGUGGAAAGCAGGGGAUCGCAAGACCUUGCGCUAUACGAGCGGCCGAUGUCAGAUUAGCUAGUUGGUAGGGUAAAGGCCUACCAAGGCGACGAUCUGUAGCGGGUCUGAGAGGAUGAUCCGCCACACUGGGACUGAGACACGGCCCAGACUCCUACGGGAGGCAGCGGUGGGGAAUUUUGGACAAUGGGCGAAAGCCUGAUCCAGCCAUGCCGCGUGAGUGAAGAAGGCCUUCGGGUUGUAAAGCUCUUUCGGCUGGGAAGAAAUCGCACAGGCUAAUACUCUGUGUGGAUGACGGUACCAGCACAAGAAGCACCGGCUAACUACGUG